This 496-nucleotide ribosomal RNA is filed under the name uncultured Scutellospora. RNAcentral describes it as "SSU rRNA". It matches the Rfam family "Eukaryotic small subunit ribosomal RNA", at positions 591 to 1092 of the family's 1831-position model. Lineage: Eukaryota; Fungi; Glomeromycota; Glomeromycetes; Diversisporales; Gigasporaceae. The record is from RNAcentral.
CCAAUAGCGUAUAUUAAAGUUGUUGCAGUUAAAAAGCUCGUAGUUGAAUUUCGGGGUUCUACCGUUGGUCGGGCUUUGUCUGUACUGGCGUGUAGAAUUUCUACCUUCUGGGGAACCAUCAUGUUAUUAAUUUAGCGUGGUGGGAAACCAGGACCUUUACCUUGAAAAAAUUAGAGUGUUCAAAGCAGGCUUAUGUCUGAAUACAUUAGCAUGGAAUAAUAGAAUAGGACGGUGGUCCUGUUUUGUUGGUUUCUGAAUCACCGUAAUGAUUAAUAGGGAGAGUUGGGGGCAUUAGUAUUCAAUUGUCAGAGGUGAAAUUCUUGGAUUUAUUGAAGACUAACUACUGCGAAAGCAUUUGCCAAGGAUGUUUUCAUUAAUCAAGAACGAAAGUUAGGGGAUCGAAGACGAUCAGAUACCGUCGUAGUCUUAACCAUAAACUAUGCCGACUAGGGAUCGGAUGAUGUUAAUUUUAUAAUGACUCAUUCGGCGCCUUACG